Molecule: transfer RNA, 72 nt
Filed under: Bos taurus (domestic cattle)
Lineage: Eukaryota; Metazoa; Chordata; Mammalia; Artiodactyla; Bovidae
Also listed under: 5 other names
Rfam family: tRNA
About the family: Transfer RNA (tRNA) molecules are approximately 80 nucleotides in length. Their secondary structure includes four short double-helical elements and three loops (D, anti-codon, and T loops). Further hydrogen bonds mediate the characteristic L-shaped molecular structure. tRNAs have two regions of fundamental functional importance: the anti-codon, which is responsible for specific mRNA codon recognition, and the 3' end, to which the tRNAs corresponding amino acid is attached (by aminoacyl-tRNA synthetases). tRNAs cope with the degeneracy of the genetic code in two manners: having more than one tRNA (with a specific anti-codon) for a particular amino acid; and 'wobble' base-pairing, i.e. permitting non-standard base-pairing at the 3rd anti-codon position.
Source: Rfam by way of RNAcentral
UCCCUGGUGGUCCAGUGGUUAGGAUUUGGUGCUUUCGCUGCUGUGGCCUGGGUUCAAUGCCUGGUCAGGGAA